RNAcentral lists this ribosomal RNA (800 nucleotides) under uncultured Funneliformis. Its description in RNAcentral is "SSU rRNA". It matches the Rfam family "Eukaryotic small subunit ribosomal RNA", at positions 314 to 1114 of the family's 1831-position model. The record is from RNAcentral. Lineage: Eukaryota; Fungi; Glomeromycota; Glomeromycetes; Glomerales; Glomeraceae.
AUCAACUUUCGAUGGUAGGAUAGAGGCCUACCAUGGCGGUAACGGGUAACGGGGUGUUAGGGCACGACACCGGAGAGGGAGCCUGAGAAACGGCUACCACAUCCAAGGAAGGCAGCAGGCGCGCAAAUUACCCAAUCCCGACACGGGGAGGUAGUGACAAUAAAUAACAAUACAGGGUUCUUUUGGAUCUUGUAAUUGGAAUGAGUACAAUUUAAAUCUCUUAACGAGGAACAAUUGGAGGGCAAGUCUGGUGCCAGCAGCCGCGGUAAUUCCAGCUCCAAUAGCGUAUAUUAAAGUUGUUGCAGUUAAAAAGCUCGUAGUUGAAUUUCGGGAUCAAUAUUUCGGUCAUGCCGUUGGUAUGCACUGUUAUCAUUGAUUUCUCACCUUCUAAAGAACCGUAAUGCCAUUAAUUUGGUGUUACGGGGAAUUAGGACUGUUACCUUGAAAAAAUUAGAGUGUUUAAAGCAGGCUCACGCUUGAAUACAUUAGCAUGGAAUAAUGAAAUAGGACAUCCGAUUCUAUUUUGUUGGUUUCUAGGAUCGAUGUAAUGAUUAAUAGGGAUAGUUGGGGGCAUUAGUAUUCAAUUGUCAGAGGUGAAAUUCUUGGAUUUAUUGAAGACUAACUACUGCGAAAGCAUUUGCCAAGGAUGUUUUCAUUAAUCAAGAACGAAAGUUAGGGGAUCGAAGACGAUCAGAUACCGUCGUAGUCUUAACCAUAAACUAUGCCGACUAGGGAUCGGAUGAUGUUAAUUUUUUAAUGACUCAUUCGGCGCCUUACGGGAAACCAAAGUGUUUGGGUUC